AUGCACGCUGGCGGCGUGCCUAAUACAUGCCAGUCGAGCGAACAGACGAGGAGCUUGCUCCUCUGACGUUAGCGGCGGACGGGUGAGUAACACGUGGAUAACCUACCUAUAAGACUGGGAUAACUUCGGGAAACCGGAGCUAAUACCGGAUAAUAUAUUUAACCGCAUGGUUCAAUAGUGAAAGACGGUUUUGCUGUCACUUAUAGAUGGAUCCGCGCCGCAUUAGCUAGUUGGUAAGGUAACGGCUUACCAAGGCGACGAUGCGUAGCCGACCUGAGAGGGUGAUCGGCCACACUGGAACUGAGACACGGUCCAGACUCCUACGGGAGGCAGCAGUAGGGAAUCUUCCGCAAUGGGCGAAAGCCUGACGGAGCAACGCCGCGUGAGUGAUGAAGGUCUUCGGAUCGUAAAACUCUGUUAUUAGGGAAGAACAAAUGUGUAAGUAACUAUGCACGUCUUGACGGUACCUAAUCAGAAAGCCACGGCUAACUACGUG
This 496-nucleotide ribosomal RNA is filed under the name uncultured bacterium. RNAcentral's name for it is "partial 16S ribosomal RNA". It matches the Rfam family "Bacterial small subunit ribosomal RNA", at positions 29 to 507 of the family's 1533-position model. The record is from RNAcentral.